AGCGAACGCUGGCGGCAGGCUUAACACAUGCAAGUCGAGCGGCCAGUCAGGGGAGUCGCCGGCGGACGGGUGACGAAUGGGAGGGUACGUGUUCGCUCGGUCGGACUAACGGAGACAGACUUUAGCAAAUACUGAGUACUACCUGGGGGGGAAAGGCUUGCUGCCGGAGGAUCGGCGCGCGUCUGAUUAGCUAGUUGGUUAGGUAACGGCUCACCAAGGCGACGAUCAGUAGCUGGUCUGAGAGGAUGAUCAGCCACACUGGGACUGAGACACGGCCCAGACUCCUACGGGAGGCAGCAGUGGGGAAUAUUGGACAAUGGGCGCAAGCCUGAUCCAGCCAUGCCGCGUGAGUGAUGAAGGCCUUAGGGUUGUAAAGCUCUUUUAUCCGGGACGAUAAUGACGGUACCGGAAGAAUAAGCCCCGGCUAACUUCGUG
This 435-nucleotide ribosomal RNA is filed under the name uncultured bacterium. RNAcentral's name for it is "partial 16S ribosomal RNA". It matches the Rfam family "Bacterial small subunit ribosomal RNA", at positions 29 to 507 of the family's 1533-position model. The record is from RNAcentral.